Vicia faba (fava bean) is the source of this 210-nucleotide non-coding RNA. The record is from the annotation of a GenBank genome assembly. Lineage: Eukaryota; Viridiplantae; Streptophyta; Magnoliopsida; Fabales; Fabaceae.
AUGCUAUUUUAUCUUAAAUUUCUAGUAACUUUGAUCUUUAUUUUGUGCAUUUUAUUUUUCUUUCUUUGUUUUUCUUUGUUUUACAGGUAUUUCAUGCAAAAAGGAAAUGACAUGGAAAGUUGGCCACUACUACCCACUGGUAGCAUGUACUUUGGUCGUAGUGCAACUGGAAUCGACCGCAUAUUCCAUUUUCUCCGAUGUAUUUUUUGA